CAGCCGCCGCGGUAACACCGAGGGUGCGAGCGUUAAUCGGAUUUACUGGGCGUAAAGCGUGCGUAGGCGGCUUCUUAAGUCGGAUGUGAAAUCCCUGAGCUUAACUUAGGAAUUGCAUUCGAUACUGGGAAGCUAGAGUAUGGGAGAGGAUGGUAGAAUUCCAGGUGUAGCGGUGAAAUGCGUAGAGAUCUGGAGGAAUACCGAUGGCGAAGGCAGCCAUCUGGCCUAAUACUGACGCUGAGGUACGAAAGCAUGGGGAGCAAACAGGAUUAGAUACCCCAGUAGUCCCUGUCUCUUAUAC
This 301-nucleotide ribosomal RNA is filed under the name uncultured bacterium. Its description in RNAcentral is "partial 16S ribosomal RNA". It matches the Rfam family "Bacterial small subunit ribosomal RNA", at positions 509 to 807 of the family's 1533-position model. The record is from RNAcentral.